AGAGAAUAGAUACCCCGGUAGUCCACGCCCUAAACGAUGGAUACUAGGCGUAAGAGGUAUCGACCCCUCUUGUGCCGCAGCUAAACGCAUUAAGUAUCCCGCCUGGGGAGUACGGCCGCAAGGUUGAAACUCAAAUGAAUUGACGGGGGACCCGCACAAGCGGUGGAGCAUGUGGAUUAAUUCGAUACUAACCGAAGAACCUUACCCAGACUUGACAUCGAUCGCAAGCCUUAGAAAUAGGGCCCUCCCCCACAAGGGGACGUGAAGACACUUGUUGCAUGGCUGUCGUCAGCUCGUGCCGUGAGGUGUACGGUUAAGUCCGCCAACGAGCGCAACCCUCGUCCUGUGUUACCAGCAUGAAAGAUGGGAACUCACAGGAGACCGCCGGUGUAAAUCGGAGAAGGUGGGGAUGACGUCAAGUCAGCAUGGCAGUUACGUCUGGGGCUUCACACAUGCUACAAUGGGCGAAACAGAGGGCCGCAAUACCGUGAGGUGAGCAAAUCCCAAAAUACGCCCCAGUUCAGAUUGCAGUCUGC
RNAcentral lists this ribosomal RNA (536 nucleotides) under uncultured bacterium. RNAcentral's name for it is "bacterial SSU rRNA". It matches the Rfam family "Bacterial small subunit ribosomal RNA", at positions 773 to 1308 of the family's 1533-position model. The record is from RNAcentral.